Macaca mulatta (Rhesus monkey) is the source of this 1292-nucleotide non-coding RNA. NCBI's taxonomy places the organism in Eukaryota, Metazoa, Chordata, Mammalia, Primates, Cercopithecidae. The record is from RefSeq and is a predicted model, not a curated record.
UAUAUUUUGGUAUCUGAUGUAUCUUUCUACACUAUGUUCCUUUAACUUCUCAGAACGUUCCUGCCCCUUCAGUUCAACGGACAUCUGAAACCCACCUGGGAGCUGGUCCAGGAAAUGAUGGACUCUGAUUUCCAUGCCCCCUUCCUGUGAAAUUAUCUCCAAUUUAGUCUCUCAAGAUCCCUUUCUUGUGAGUUAGUUUCUCCCUAGUGCUACUUCUCAGAUUGGCCAGUGACUCACAGAAUGGCACAAGUACAAAUCCAGGCUGCCUUUUGUCCAACUCAGAUUCCAGGACCACUGAAACCAGCUGAGGCAUCCUGAAAGCCUAAGAUUGACCACACCAGAGGAACCAGACUGCCCUUCACAAGGGAAAGCCCAACAGCACUGACAUUUGGAAAGGCAAUCUGAAGAAUUUCAGUGGAGGAAAUGAAUAUUUCUCAUCCAAAUCAGGCAACACUCUAAAACAAAGAAAACUUUAAGGAGUUUAGUUCCUAAAAAGGGUGGAGGUGGUUGACAGAAGGAAAACUAGUGGUUUAUAUUGUGUGUGUGCGCGUGUGUGUGUGUAUGUUAUUUAAUGGCUUGUGUUUAACUCUCAGAUAAAUUCCUUUUUAGUAAAUUCACAUAGGUAUUCCUCUCUAAACAAUGUACAACUGAUCUUAACAAUGAAAGUUUAGGAUUUCUGAUAAUUCAUAGGUAUAAAAUAGGAAUUCUCUGAGUGUGACAUAGCAGGACUCUAAAGACAGCUUUGCAAAGGAGAAUCACUCCUCACCAGCCCCAACUUCGGAACUGUAAUUAUGUAUUUGAGUUGUUUAAAAGUGGUGCAACUCUUUACUUUUGAAACAAGUUGUGAGCCUCUGACAUAUGAUAUCUGCGUCCACAUAUGUACUCAUAAUUUAAAACAUUUUAAAUAAAGAAAGUAUUAUUCUUUGGUGAAUCGAAUUCAAAUAAUAGUAGACAGACAGAAAGACUAUAGCUCAUAAUUGAAGUGCCCACAUCUGUCACAAUUUCCCAGGGUUGUCCUAACAAAGUGCCACUAACUGGGUGGCUUAAAAUAACAGAAAUGUGUUCUCUCACAGUUCUGGAGGCUGGAAGUCAAAAACGAAGGUGCUGGCAGGGCCAUGCUCCAUCCGAAGCCUCUAGAGAAAAAUCCUUCUUUGCCUCUUUCAGCUUCUGGUGGUUGUCGGCAGUGCUUGCUGUCCCCUGGACUGUGGCUGCCUCAUUCCGGUUUCCUCCUUGGCAUCACAUGGGGCUCUUGUUGUGUCUGUGUGUCCAGACUGCCCUCUCCUCUCCCUUAG